Molecule: long non-coding RNA, 689 nt
Organism: Homo sapiens (human)
Lineage: Eukaryota; Metazoa; Chordata; Mammalia; Primates; Hominidae
Source: Ensembl
CCUUGUGAUUAGGCUAAAAAAAAUUAAUAAUGUUUUUAAAAAACAAAUUAUUUUAUAUGAUUAUUGUAUUUUCGUUUUCAAAAUUGACAAAGUGAUGUACUGAUUAUAAAUCUGCAGUAUUAAGAAAAAUAUGACUUAAAAAUGUGACUGUGUUAAGAAAAAUAUGACUUAAGAGGGAAGGGGAGGUUUUCAGGUAGAAGCCAAUCGUACUGAAGAAAGCAGUGCGAUGGUGGCUCCUAGCGCAGAGGGAAGGCAGUGCUUCACUGCACUGACCAGGACUCGGUGGGCGCCAGGUCCCCACAGCACUAACGGCAAGUGGUGAAGAGUGGGUACAGAGCCCUCAGGAGGCCUGCCCAUGUACCCACCUCUGCCUGCUCCUGCAUUUGCUGAGGAACUUGGAAAGCAAAAGGCAGGGCCGCUUGCCAUGAAGAGCUUGCAAAGCCCUUACCCUCCUACUUAACACUGAUCAUGCUGGUUGUUGAUUUUUAUUGGGGAGAGGGUAAGGAAACACUCAUUAAAAAGAAAAACUACCAUUGCAGAUGCUCAAGAACUCUUAACAUCUGUCUUUCUAUUCACUGAUUUUUGAGAUGGGGUCUUGCUCUGUUGCCCAGGCUGGAGUACAGUGGCGAGAUCAUGGCUCACUGCAGCCCCAACUGCCCAGGCUCAAGCGAUAUCAAACAGAGGACAUC